UCUUCUAUCAGCUACUAGUCUUCUCCAGGAUGUCAAGACAUCUCAUGUGACAUCAGCUAUCUGCUCCCCCUGUCUCCAUGCUCUUACUAGUAGCUUACAUCAGUCAUCAUCAACAGUAGUCUCCCCCUCAAAGUCAUAUACAUGCAACUCCUCCUCAAAAUCAUGAAUCAUGCAUACAUCGUUUCCUACUGCCAUACAUCGUAUCAAUCAUGCAUAAUACGACUAUUGCAUACAUAGCUACUACUCAAAAUCAUGCAUAAUAGCAAGCAUAAUACUAU
This 278-nucleotide long non-coding RNA is filed under the name Glycine max (soybean). Its description in RNAcentral is "long non-coding RNA (GMAX_LNC004563)". Lineage: Eukaryota; Viridiplantae; Streptophyta; Magnoliopsida; Fabales; Fabaceae. The record is from RNAcentral.